Molecule: small nucleolar RNA, 92 nt
Filed under: Serpula lacrymans var. lacrymans S7.3
Lineage: Eukaryota; Fungi; Basidiomycota; Agaricomycetes; Boletales; Serpulaceae
Source: RNAcentral
GUUCUGUGAUGAAUACACUAUUCAGUUCUGCUUCCGAAAGAGAGAGUAAUCUCCUUGUGGAAACCUUUUUACCAAAACUCUCAUUCUGAUUC